AUCCCCAAAUCUGGGCCUGAGCCUAAGAGGAGGCACCUUGGGACGCUGCUCCAGCCUACGGUCAACAAGUUCUCCCUUCGGGUGUUCGGCAGCCACAAAGCAGUGGAAAUCGAGCAGGAGCGGGUGAAGUCAGCGGGGGCCUGGAUCAUCCACCCCUACAGCGACUUCCGGUUUUACUGGGACCUGAUCAUGCUGCUGCUGAUGGUGGGGAACCUCAUCGUCCUGCCUGUGGGCAUCACCUUCUUCAAGGAGGAGAACUCCCCGCCUUGGAUCGUCUUCAACGUAUUGUCUGAUACUUUCUUCCUACUGGAUCUGGUGCUCAACUUCCGAACGGGCAUCGUGGUGGAGGAGGGUGCUGAGAUCCUGCUGGCACCGCGGGCCAUCCGCACGCGCUACCUGCGCACCUGGUUCCUGGUUGACCUCAUCUCUUCUAUCCCUGUGGAUUACAUCUUCCUAGUGGUGGAGCUGGAGCCACGGUUGGACGCUGAGGUCUACAAAACGGCACGGGCCCUACGCAUCGUUCGCUUCACCAAGAUCCUAAGCCUGCUGAGGCUGCUCCGCCUCUCCCGCCUCAUCCGCUACAUACACCAGUGGGAGGAGAUCUUUCACAUGACCUAUGACCUGGCCAGUGCUGUGGUUCGCAUCUUCAACCUCAUUGGGAUGAUGCUGCUGCUAUGUCACUGGGAUGGCUGUCUGCAGUUCCUGGUGCCCAUGCUGCAGGACUUCCCUCCCGACUGCUGGGUCUCCAUCAACCACAUGGUGGUGAGAAGUCCCCACAGCUCUGCCUUUCCUGGGCCUUCUUAGGGCUCUUCUGCCUGAGUAGCAGGGAUGGCCACAGGGAGCAGGAGGUGGGAGAUGAUCACAACAGAAAAUAGGAGCGAGGAGGUGGGGAGGAGGGAGGAAAGGGGAAGGAGACCCAGAAGAAGUGCUCGUGUGUUGGAGGGAGCAGGCAAAGGAAGGGUACCUACCCGGAAGCUGAGGCCCCCAAGUUGCAAUAGAGGACCCUUUUGCCUCAGGGCCCCCCAGAACCAAACUUAAGUGCCUGCCAGGAGGAAGGCCUGCAGUAGAAGGGGCAGACAGAAAGACCAAAGAAGGAAAAGGGGCAGGCAGAGAAUGAGGCUCCGAGGGGCCCAUGCCCAGCUCUGCAAUAUACUCUGCCCCUCAGAACCACUCGUGGGGCCGCCAGUAUUCCCAUGCCCUGUUCAAGGCCAUGAGCCACAUGCUGUGCAUUGGCUAUGGGCAGCAGGCACCUGUAGGCAUGCCCGACGUCUGGCUCACCAUGCUCAGCAUGAUCGUAGGUGCCACAUGCUACGCCAUGUUCAUCGGCCAUGCCACGGCACUCAUCCAGUCCCUGGACUCUUCCCGGCGUCAGUACCAGGAGAAGUACAAGCAGGUGGAGCAGUACAUGUCCUUCCACAAGCUGCCAGCAGACACGCGGCAGCGCAUCCACGAGUACUAUGAGCACCGCUACCAGGGCAAGAUGUUCGAUGAGGAAAGCAUCCUGGGCGAGCUGAGCGAGCCGCUUCGCGAGGAGAUCAUUAACUUCACCUGUCGGGGCCUGGUGGCCCACAUGCCGCUGUUUGCCCAUGCCGACCCCAGCUUCGUCACUGCAGUUCUCACCAAGCUGCGCUUUGAGGUCUUCCAGCCGGGGGAUCUCGUGGUGCGUGAGGGCUCCGUGGGGAGGAAGAUGUACUUCAUCCAGCAUGGGCUGCUCAGUGUGCUGGCCCGCGGCGCCCGGGACACACGCCUCACCGAUGGAUCCUACUUUGGGGCGUGGACCAUUUCAAUGCUGUGCUUGAGGAGUUCCCCAUGAUGCGCCGGGCCUUUGAGACUGUGGCCAUGGAUCGGCUGCUCCGCAUCGGCAAGAAGAAUUCCAUACUGCAGCGGAAGCGCUCCGAGCCAAGUCCAGGCAGCAGUGGUGGCAUCAUGGAGCAGCACUUGGUGCAACAUGACAGAGACAUGGCUCGGGGUGUUCGGGGUCGGGCCCCGAGCACAGGAGCUCAGCUUAGUGGAAAGCCAGUACUGUGGGAGCCACUGGUACAUGCGCCCCUUCAGGCAGCUGCUGUGACCUCCAAUGUGGCCAUUGCCCUGACUCAUCAGCGGGGCCCUCUGCCCCUCUCCCCUGACUCUCCAGCCACCCUCCUUGCUCGCUCUGCUUGGCGCUCAGCAGGCUCUCCAGCUUCCCCGCUGGUGCCCGUCCGAGCUGGCCCAUGGGCAUCCACCUCCCGCCUGCCCGCCCCACCUGCCCGAACCCUGCACGCCAGCCUAUCCCGGGCAGGGCGCUCCCAGGUCUCCCUGCUGGGUCCCCCUCCAGGAGGAGGUGGACGGCGGCUAGGACCUCGGGGCCGCCCACUCUCAGCCUCCCAACCCUCUCUGCCUCAGCGGGCAACAGGCGAUGGCUCUCCUGGGCGUAAGGGAUCAGGAAGUGAGCGGCUGCCUCCCUCAGGGCUCCUGGCCAAACCUCCAAGGACAGCCCAGCCCCCCAGGCCACCAGUGCCUGAGCCAGCCACACCCCGGGGUCUCCAGCUUUCUGCCAACAUGUAAAACCUUUGAGUACAUCCAGCCUUAGUUCUUGGGGUGCAGUAGUAUGUACCCAAGGGCAGAUGCCUCUUGGGGAAGGCCAUGGGGACCUGAAACAUUGCCCCAUGGAAAUGUCGACCCUGUGCGGACAUUCCGCAUACUGCCAUGAAGACGGUCUCUGUGUCCUCAGCUCAAGAAUCCUGUAGCUUGUCCCAUCAUAAUCCAUUCACCCGUUCAUCAUGUGUACUGAGCAGCUACCAUGUUCAAGGUAAGGAGACAGGAGGAGUAGGAGGAGGCAGGGCCUCUCCAUGCCAGCCUCUGUGGUCCUUGCCCAAACCCAUCAGCGCAAUACUUGAACCUUCUCCCAGGUAGGGGCAGGAGGAGCCACAUGAGAGAGGGAGAAGGACCGCGUUUACCUUUAGAGUUUUGUUUUGUUUUUUCCUUCUGAGUUUGCUGUUGGUGCAGGAAUAAGGGAAAGGCCCAAGGUAUCCAAGCCUGGGGAAGGGCAGGCCAGCCAGCACCUCUGCCUUCUCAGGGACAAGAGUAGUCCUUUACCACCCUCACUCUGCCUGUCCCCUCUCCUACUCUACAGCAUUAAAGACUGUGGGACCAGGACCCUAAGUCUCCUUUCCUUCUGGGUGGGGAGUUCUGGGGUUCUUGGUGUGUGGGAGAAGUUUUAUAAUUGCUUCCAAACAGCUGGGUUUAAAUAUAAAAUAGACACACUC
RNAcentral lists this unclassified non-coding RNA (3245 nucleotides) under Homo sapiens (human). RNAcentral describes it as "hyperpolarization activated cyclic nucleotide gated potassium channel 3 (ENSG00000263324.5)". Lineage: Eukaryota; Metazoa; Chordata; Mammalia; Primates; Hominidae. The record is from RNAcentral.